This 460-nucleotide ribosomal RNA is filed under the name uncultured bacterium. Its description in RNAcentral is "partial 16S ribosomal RNA". It matches the Rfam family "Bacterial small subunit ribosomal RNA", at positions 338 to 795 of the family's 1533-position model. The record is from RNAcentral.
CCUACGGGAGGCAGCAGUGAGGAAUAUUGGUCAAUGGACGAGAGUCUGAACCAGCCAAGUAGCGUGAAGGAUGACUGCCCUAUGGGUUGUAAACUUCUUUUAUAUGGGAAUAAAACGUUCCACGAGUGGGAUUUUGUAUGUACCAUAUUAAUAAGGAUCGGCUAACUGCGUGCCAGCAGCCGCGGUAAUACGGAGGAUCCGAGCGUUAUCCGGAUUUAUUGGGUGUAAAGGGAGCGUAGGUGGAUUGUUAAGUCAGUUGUGAAAGUUUGCGGCCCAACCGUAGAAUUGCAGUUGAAACUGGCAGUCUUGAGUACAGUAGAGGUGGGCAGAAUUCGUGGUGUAGCGGUGAAAUGCUUAGAUAUCACGAAGAACUCCGAUUGCGAAGGCAGUUCACUGGACUGCAACUGACACUGAGGCUCGAAAGUGUGGGUAUCAAACAGGAUUAGAUACCCGGGUAGUC